AUGCUCGUCGUCCUCUGGGAAGGCGAGUGGGGUAUCCGGGCAGGCGACGCCCUUGCUCCUAUCGUCAUCGGCCGCGCGCUUCUUGGUCGGUGGCACCGCUGGGACCAGCCACGCCUGCUACUUCAGCUGCUAGCGGCGGUGACGGUUGCUUGCCCACACGAUGGACGGCAGGUCCACGAGAAUGGUGGCCACCUGCAGCUCGCGCUCCCUGAACACCUCCUCCCGCGCGCGUCCACUUUCAGCCGCUUCGGCCGCCUUGGAUCUCGACGAGCGAGCGAGGGAUUGGGUGGAGUUCUGCGGGUGAUGGCGAGAGCAGGGGAAGAGGCGAAGGAUUGUUUUGGUUGUUUUUGUUUAAUAGAGGGUUUUUUGUAA
Molecule: ribosomal RNA, 372 nt
Filed under: Triticum aestivum (bread wheat)
Lineage: Eukaryota; Viridiplantae; Streptophyta; Magnoliopsida; Poales; Poaceae
Description: partial small subunit ribosomal RNA
Source: RNAcentral